CCAGGUUAAGAGUUAGGCAUCUCCUUGAGAUGUCCUUAUUUGCUUAGGUCCUGCAUGAAAGCACAUAGUGCCCUAGCUCUUUUGAAAAGCAGGAAAAUCCUGAAAGAAAGCAACACAGAGCUUUCUCCAUUGUGAGGUAGUGAGGAGGGGAUUAGGACACUAGGUGAGAAAGGACAGGCCUAGACAAUGAAGCAAGGGGCGAGUGGGUGGAUGGGUAAAACCACCUGCUCCUCAAAACAGCCAGGCUCUGAGAUGAAGCAGGAAUCUGCACUUAAACCGAGGCUGGAUCCAUCCUAGGGAUUCAAGCCUGUGUUGUCAAGCGAAAACAGAAAAGAGAAGGGAAUUCCACCUUUGCCCACUGAGAACACAUCUAUGCUGAGAACACAUCUACCCAACUCCUCUGUCACAACCCCUGUGAGAAGGUUCUGCCAUCUCCCAGCCCUGAAGAUUGUGAGCUCCCUGAUGGCCCUGGGCCUCCCUCCCGACAGCUGAGGCCCUUCCUGGAUCUCUACACGUCACCAAGCUAAGCCAGUGUUCCAAAAUAGUCUCCUGAACAAUGAUGACAACUGCACAGUUAUUUUGGAAGAACUUCCUGGCAGUGAUGGCAGUGGAACAUUGGAAACAGAGAUGAACAGGAGGUGGGAAGAGGAGGCUAAGUACAUGUAGGCCUAAAAGUCUCUGCCUUGGGAGAUUUUUAACAGUCCUGGAUGGAGCAGAUCCCCUCACUGAGACUUCCAAAGAUUUUUAUCAACAAUUUUAUGUCACUCCCACUAACUCUUUGAAGGUAAAUGGCAGAAUUAAUUUUCCCGUUUAAAAAACAGAAACACAAAGACCCAGUGGAGUCUGCAUUUUCUAGUUUUAGUCAGCCAUUCUGGAAGCUGCGUCCUGGUAACCGCAGUGUCCCAGCUGUGAACUCCGGGCAAGUGUACAGCAUCAUCUUCCAUUCACCAUGUGGUUACUGCACUUCUCAUACAAACUACCUGCGUUACUCAGUUAUCCAGUAUCAAGGACUAUGCCACACUCCUUAGAGCAGAUGCAGGGCACUUAGAGAUUAAUAAAACAGGCCGAGCACAGCCUGUAACCCCAGCACUUUGGGAGCCUGAGAUGGAAGAACUGCUUGAGCCCAGGAGUUCAAGACCAGCCUCGGC
RNAcentral lists this long non-coding RNA (1148 nucleotides) under Homo sapiens (human). RNAcentral describes it as "HSALNT0351709". Lineage: Eukaryota; Metazoa; Chordata; Mammalia; Primates; Hominidae. The record is from RNAcentral.